RNAcentral lists this ribosomal RNA (253 nucleotides) under uncultured bacterium. RNAcentral describes it as "partial 16S ribosomal RNA". It matches the Rfam family "Bacterial small subunit ribosomal RNA", at positions 524 to 776 of the family's 1533-position model. The record is from RNAcentral.
UACGGGGGGGGCAAGCGUUGUUCGGAAUUACUGGGCGUAAAGGGCUCGUAGGCGGCCAACUAAGUCGGACGUGAAAUCCCCAGGCUCAACCUGGGAACUGCGUCCGAUACUGGAUGGCUUGAAUUCGGGAGAGGGAUGCAGAAUUCCCGGUGUAGCGGUGAAAUGCGCAGAGAUCGGGAGGAACACCCGUAGCGAAGGCGGCGCUCUGGGCCGGUACUGACGCUGAGGAGCGAAAGCGUGGGGAGCAAACAGG